RNAcentral lists this ribosomal RNA (253 nucleotides) under uncultured bacterium. RNAcentral describes it as "partial 16S ribosomal RNA". It matches the Rfam family "Bacterial small subunit ribosomal RNA", at positions 524 to 776 of the family's 1533-position model. The record is from RNAcentral.
UACAGAGGUCCCGAGCGUUGUUCGGAUCCACUGGGCGUAAAGGGUGCGUAGGUGGUGAGGUAAGUCGGAUGUGAAAUCUCCGGGCUCAACCCGGAAAUGGCAUUGGAAACUACCUUGCUGGAGGAUUUGAGGGGGGAUUGGAAUACUUGGUGUAGCAGUGAAAUGCGUAGAUAUCAAGUGGAACACCAGUGGCGAAGGCGAAUCCCUGGAAAAUACCUGACACUGAGGCACGAAAGCUAGGGGAGCAAACAGG